AUACGUAGGGGGCAAGCGUUGUCCGGAUUUAUUGGGCGUAAAGAGCGUGUAGGCGGCUUUACAGGUCCGUUGUGAAAACUCGAGGCUCAACCUCGAGACGCCGGUGGAAACCGUAAAGCUAGAGUCCGGAAGAGGAGAGUGGAAUUCCUGGUGUAGCGGUGAAAUGCGCAGAUAUCAGGAAGAACACCCGUGGCGAAGGCGGCUCUCUGGGACGGUACUGACGCUGAGACGCGAAAGCGUGGGGAGCGAACAGGAUUAGAUACCCUGGUAGUCCACGCCGUGAACGAUGGGUGCUAGGUGUAGGGGGUGUCGACUCCCUCUGUGCCGAAGCUAACGCAUUAAGCACCCCGCCUGGGGAGUACGGCCGCAAGGCUAAAACUCAAAUGAAUUGACGGGG
Molecule: ribosomal RNA, 397 nt
Filed under: uncultured bacterium
Lineage: Bacteria
Description: partial 16S ribosomal RNA
Rfam family: Bacterial small subunit ribosomal RNA
Source: RNAcentral